Molecule: ribosomal RNA, 430 nt
Filed under: uncultured bacterium
Lineage: Bacteria
Description: bacterial SSU rRNA
Rfam family: Bacterial small subunit ribosomal RNA
Source: RNAcentral
GAUUAACGCUGGCGGGAUGCAUAACACAUGCAAGUCGACUGCAUUUAGUUGCAGGGCGGACGGCUGAGUAACACGUUGGUCACCUGCCCCGAACUCAGGGAUAACCCGAGGAAACUCGGAAUAAUACCGGAUAUCCCAGCAAUGGGAAAGCUUCGGCGGUUCGGGAGGGGCCUGCGGCCUAUCAGCUUGUUGGUAAGGUAACGGCUUACCAAGGCUAUGACGGGUACCUGGUGUGAGAGCACGACCAGGCAGAAUGGGACUGAGACACGGCCCAUACUCCUACGGGAGGCAGCAGUGAGGAAUUUUCCGCAAUGGGCGAAAGCCUGACGGAGCAAUCCCGCGUGGAGGAUGACACCUUUCGAGGCGUAAACUCCUUUUCUGAGGGAAGAAAUUUUGACGGUACCUCAGGAAUAAGCACCGGCUAACUACG